Phasianus colchicus (ring-necked pheasant) is the source of this 1014-nucleotide non-coding RNA. The record is from the annotation of a RefSeq genome assembly. Lineage: Eukaryota; Metazoa; Chordata; Aves; Galliformes; Phasianidae.
CGGCCCCGCUCUGCUGCCGUCCGCCUGCCGGGCAGACGGCGGCGGCGCGGCGGGGCGCGAUGGCGGCCGGGCUGGGGCCGUGGCUGCUGGCCUUGGCCUUGGGGCCGGCAGGAGUGUGUGCACAGUUCAGACUCGAAGCAUCUGGCGGAGGUGUGCAAGCACCUGGGGAGUCUGUGCAGCUCUCCUGCCAGGGAUCCGGCUUCAAUUUUGGAAGUUACGCUGUACUGUGGUACCGUCAGGCACUUGGUGGUCGUCUGGAGUGGCUGUCCUACAUCUAUGAUGAUUAUAUUAUUAGAUUAAGCCCUGAGUUGGAGGGUCGAGCCUCGGUUUCUCGUGAGGAUUCCCAAUCUGUGUCCUAUCUGUCUCUCCGUGCCCUGCACCCACACGACUCAGCGCUCUACUUCUGUGCUGUUCACACGGGAACAGGAAAUCCUGCAGAGCUGUAACAAAAAAUCCCCUUCUUAGACACAGCCACUGCUGCUGGAACCACAGUGCUGGCAGGAACUGGAGCAGCUCUGGGCUGCUCCUGGACAGUGAGGAGACAUCAGUGCACCCUACAGAUGACCCUGUCCUUUCUGCCACGUCUCUCUGCCAUCACUUCUCCUGAGUCACAAAAGCAGUGAUGUGACCUGAGGAUCAUAUUCACAAUAUUUCUGUUCACACUAUCAGUUUGGCUACUUUUCCUGCCUCCUACCUGCAGCAUGUCUGCACCUGAUUUUGGUUUCCUUCUUCCAUUGGGUACUCAAAAGCAUUUGGGCAUUUCUUGCUACAGCAUUGCCUGCUUCCGUCACCCGUGUGGAUGGCUUUUUCCAUCUGUCUCUGUGAUCAAAGCAGUGGGUGAAUAAAUCUGAUGUGGUUUCUGGGACAUUUCAGAGUGAUGGAAUCCAACAAAUGCAGUCUGUAGCGUUGCAGCUAGCAGGGCAAUCUGAGACCCUUCAAAUUACAUACGUCACUCUGCAAAUCACAGAAUCACAGAAUCACAGAAUCGUAGGGGUUGGAAGGGACCUCCAGAGA